RNAcentral lists this ribosomal RNA (61 nucleotides) under Actaea simplex. RNAcentral's name for it is "partial 28S ribosomal RNA". The record is from RNAcentral. Lineage: Eukaryota; Viridiplantae; Streptophyta; Magnoliopsida; Ranunculales; Ranunculaceae.
GGCCCCCCAGGCCAGGGGGGGAAUAUCCCCGCUGAUUUAAGACUAUCAUUAGGGGGAGAGA